This 22-nucleotide small RNA is filed under the name Arabidopsis thaliana (thale cress). RNAcentral's name for it is "ATSL066130". The record is from RNAcentral. Lineage: Eukaryota; Viridiplantae; Streptophyta; Magnoliopsida; Brassicales; Brassicaceae.
AAGUUUUGUAAGCAUCCUCUGA